Molecule: ribosomal RNA, 455 nt
Filed under: uncultured bacterium
Lineage: Bacteria
Description: bacterial SSU rRNA
Rfam family: Bacterial small subunit ribosomal RNA
Source: RNAcentral
AUUGAACGCUGGCGGCAUGCCUUACACAUGCAAGUCGAACGGCAGCACGGGAGCAAUCCUGGUGGCGAGUGGCGAACGGGUGAGUAAUAUAUCGGAACGUGCCCAGUCGUGGGGAUAACGUAGCGAAAGCUACGCUAAUACCGCAUACGAUCUACGGAUGAAAGCGGGGGAUCGCAAGACCUCGCGCGAUUGGAGCGGCCGAUAUCAGAUUAGGUAGUUGGUGAGGUAAAGGCUCACCAAGCCGACGAUCUGUAGCUGGUCUGAGAGGACGACCAGCCACACUGGGACUGAGACACGGCCCAGACUCCUACGGGAGGCAGCAGUGGGGAAUUUUGGACAAUGGACGCAAGUCUGAUCCAGCCAUUCCGCGUGCAGGAUGAAGGCCCUCGGGUUGUAAACUGCUUUGUACGGAACGAAAGGUUUCUAUUAAUACUAGGAGCUCAUGACGGUACCGU